Molecule: non-coding RNA, 205 nt
Filed under: Couchioplanes caeruleus subsp. caeruleus
Lineage: Bacteria; Bacillati; Actinomycetota; Actinomycetes; Micromonosporales; Micromonosporaceae
Also listed under: 1 other name
Source: RNAcentral
AUGGUGUGGCCCGUAGCUGGUUCGGCCGCGUCGUCACGGGGCCGAGGCAAGAGGGAACCCGGUGCAAAUCCGGGACUGCCCCGCAGCGGUGAGUGGGAACGACCGCCGUCAUACAGCACUGGGCCUCGGCCUGGGAAGCGACGGCCAGUAGGCGACUUCUGUCAGGCCCGCGAGUCCGAAGACCUGCCAGCGCGUCGCACGCCGG